GGCCGAACGAGCGGGGCUGGAUCGCCGCAGGCGCUCCGGGGUUGGAGCUGAGUCCGGCGCUGCCGCUCCUGUUCCGGCCGCUCCCGCUGUGGGACCACAGUCCGCCGGGGCUCAGUCCUGCUCCAGCUGCUCAUCCGACACCUGUUGGAGGACAGGAGGUUCUGAGUUGGAAACAGCCAUGAGGAUCAUCAAGUCAAGCCAGGGGCUGCUCUGAACAGGCACCUGGAGAUGCUUCAGCCCAGACAGACCCCACCCACACCCCAAAAAUACCCCAAGGAACAGCUGGCAUUACCUGGGAAUGUUGGCACCGUGCAUUUGCGGAGAGGCUUAGGCAGCAAUUCCCAGUGCUGACCUCCUGGAGCUCCCACACACCCCCAGGAAGAAGCAGGAUUCAAACCUAGAAAGCGAGGAUUACCUGGAAAACGAGAGCGGCGGUCAGGACUGGCUGGACUAACCCUGGUGAGGGAGACAUCUCUACGAAGAUGGAAUCAUUGAUAAAGGACUGGAUCAUUGGGCGCCCGUGUGAUGCGUAUGCUCCAGUGCCAGAAAGACGCGAUGAACCACCAGACAACCUGAAGACGCCCAAAACUCCUGAGCCUGUGAAACCCAAGCGACAACAACUUAUGUGUGUAAUCUUUUAGGACUUGUUAGCAGUGAGCAGGUUAGUGCAGAACAUAACCCCCAUCAACCAUUCAGGUGGAUCUUAUGCCGUGGCUUGAACGAGAUGAUUAAAGAGGUAGUCACAGCAGGCACCCCAAAGUUCUUUGUGCUCAUUCGAGACAUUUUCCCUGGUAUAGUAACUCAUAACAUCCACCCUCGCUUUGAGCUGUACCAGUCAUACUGGUGUCCAGCUACCAACCCAGGCAAAGACUACUGCCGCCAGCUAGGGUAUUGGUUUUGUGGCUAUUGGGGGUGCGAAACAAUAGUCCUGAGCAACCAGUGGGCACCACCAAAAGCAGAUGAGUUUCUGCAAGUAACCUGGGGUCCAGCAGGCUGUAUACAUCCCAGUUUCAACUCCAUAGGGCAAGUGUUUUAUGGCUUUUAUGAUGACCAAUCUAAAGUCUGUCAUCAAAUGAUCAUACAGGUCCUGCAGCCAGCAGAUGUGGGUUGAACCACCGGAAGAAUGUGGUCAGUAGUCUUGCACAAGCCUGGCAAAGAUCCCGGUGAAGUAGUACAAAUUAUCCGACUCCCAGUCAUGACACCUGAAGCAAUUGGCCCCAACCUUGUGGUACAGGCUGAGAACCCACGAUCUAAUAGUCUAUACCCGCUGCAUAAGCGAGAAGCUUUUCCCCAAAGAUCUGAAGUCACUGCUUUUGAUUCGCUCUAUCAAAUGUCAGAGGCCACCUUUUUACCUCUAAAUCAAUCUAACCCCAAUGCCACAGAAUCCUGCUGGCUGUGUUAUGACACACAGCCCCCUUACUAUGAGGCUGUGGCCCUUAACAACCGGCUGAUGUGGUCUAGUGCUGAGGCCCCAGUCCAGUUGCAGUGAGUCACCUUCUCGCAGAAUCACCAUCAGCCACAUGACCGGGCGAGGGUUUUGCAUAGGCAAAGCCACUGUUAUUGACAAAAAAGUCUGUGCGACCACUGUGCAGGUGGACAAGUCUAAGAAAUGGGCAAUCGCCCCCUUGUCUGGCAUGUGGGUUUGCAACUGCAGUGGGCUAAGCCCUUGCAUCUAUACCCAAAGCUUUAACUCCUCUGCUGACUAUUGUGUAUUAGCUGUUAUCAUCCCCAGGGUCCUAUACCACUCCAGAGAAGAAGUGAACCAGUACCUGGAGCAAGCAGGCCACCUUCAGAAAAGAGAGCUGCUGACAGGAAUGUCGGUAGCAAUGCUGCUCGGCUUGGGAGCGACCGGUACGGCCACUGGUGUCUUCGCCCUGGUAACCCAGAGUCAGAGUAACUUCAUCUCAGUUACAGAUGACUGUAGAUGAAGAUCUACAGAGAAUUGAGAAAUCCAUAUCCUUUCUAGAAAA
Cyanistes caeruleus (blue tit) is the source of this 1970-nucleotide non-coding RNA. NCBI's taxonomy places the organism in Eukaryota, Metazoa, Chordata, Aves, Passeriformes, Paridae. The record is from RefSeq and is a predicted model, not a curated record.